Brassica napus (rape) is the source of this 680-nucleotide long non-coding RNA. RefSeq lists it as uncharacterized. NCBI's taxonomy places the organism in Eukaryota, Viridiplantae, Streptophyta, Magnoliopsida, Brassicales, Brassicaceae. The transcript has 2 exons. The record is from RefSeq and is a predicted model, not a curated record.
UUAAAAACUCAUGAAACAAUUUCUCUCUUUAGGGUUUAGUUAUCAUGACCGACUCAAUAUUAUACAGUGAAAAGCUAAAUCCACAUGAGGAUUAGUUAAAAGUUUAAUAAUUUUAGUCAAAUUUUGUUUAAGAUUUAGUCAAAUUUUAUAGAAGUUUUAGACUUUAGUCCAACCUCAUAUCAGUCGUUGGUCAAACUUAAUGUGACAAAUAGAGAAAUGUUUUUCAUGGUAAAGAUUUCUACUCUACAAAAAGUUAUAUAAAUAGAGUACCUCUUGAAGAUAUAGACAAUUAUAAAAUUUCACUUGUGUUUUGUAUAUCAAACUAAUAGUAAAAUAAACACAAUGGCUUUUACAAAAUCAUCUGUGACUCUUUUUCUUAUAAUAAUGCUGACAAUUUCGUUUUCAAACGAUAGAGUUAUGGCGAGGCCAGGGAUUAAACAAGGACAAGGUGAAACAUGCAUUGGAAGAUGUGCGCAACAGUAUGGAAAUAGGCAAUGUAGUAAAAAUUGUAUUGCUCAUAAUUAUUCAGGAGGAGAGUGUGCUUUCGUUUCUGGAGGCGCGACCAUACCACAAUGUUGUUGUUUCAAAUGAUAAAUAGAGAUCGAUUGUGUGUUACUUUGCAAUUUCUUGAUACAGAAUCCAAUGAAAUAAAACUAAUAUUAAUACUACCGCUUUUAUAA